This 542-nucleotide ribosomal RNA is filed under the name uncultured bacterium. RNAcentral's name for it is "bacterial SSU rRNA". It matches the Rfam family "Bacterial small subunit ribosomal RNA", at positions 777 to 1319 of the family's 1533-position model. The record is from RNAcentral.
AAUAGAUACCCUGGUAGUCCACGCCGUAAACGUUGGGCACUAGGUGUGGGGUCUAUUCAACGGACUCCGUGCCGUAGCUAACGCAUUAAGUGCCCCGCCUGGGGAGUACGGCCGCAAGGCUAAAACUCAAAGGAAUUGACGGGGGCCCGCACAAGCAGCGGAGCAUGUUGCUUAAUUCGAGGCAACGCGAAGAACCUUACCUGGGUUUGACAUGUAGAGAAAAGCCAUAGAGAUAUGGUGUCCUUCGGGGUUCUACACAGGUGGUGCAUGGUUGUCGUCAGCUCGUGCCGUGAGAUGUUGGGUUAAGUCCCGCAACGAGCGCAACCCUUGUCCUAUGUUGCCAGCACGUCAUGGUGGGGACUCGUAGGAGACUGCCGGGGUCAACUCGGAGGAAGGUGGGGACGACGUCAAAUCAUCAUGCCCCUUAUAUCCAGGGCUGCAAACAUGCUACAAUGGCCGGUACAAAGGGCUGCGAAACCGCGAGGUGGAGCGAAUCCCAUAAAGCCGGUCUCAGUUCGGAUUGGAGUCUGCAACUCGACUCC